This is a long non-coding RNA of Manis pentadactyla (Chinese pangolin), 1053 nucleotides long. RefSeq lists it as uncharacterized. The record is from RefSeq and is a predicted model, not a curated record. The transcript is spliced from 3 exons. NCBI's taxonomy places the organism in Eukaryota, Metazoa, Chordata, Mammalia, Pholidota, Manidae.
CUCAUUUACUCUGAAUGGGAUUGCCAGUAUUUGGUUUUUCUCCUAUUCCUGCAUAAGGAAGAUCACACUUCCCAAACCCUUUGCAAUCAGUCAGGUCCUGUGACUAAUUCUGGUCAGGUAACUGUAACCCAAUGUGAUCGAUCAGGUCAAAGCCAGUGUCUGAAUCUCCAGGUUUUUUUCCUUUUCUGUAAUGACCAAGAAGCUCUUUUUCUCAGAUGGUGCUGCUAUGAGAUUGUAGAAUCUUCAUCAACUGGAUCCCUGAGUGUUUCUAUGGAGCAGAAUCCCUCCCUGCAUCAAUUUAUGAUGGACAUUUAGAGUAAAAAGAAUAUAAACCUAUGUUGUGGUGAGUGGAAUCCAACACUGGGCAGAAGAGGUACCAGUACCUCCCAUUCCAAAGACAACCACAGACAGGAGGAACUAUGUAACCCUUCCUGGGUGUACUGAGAGGCAGCAGACUGUCAUCUCCAUCAUCAUUCCCCACCAGCCCACAUAAAAAGAAUGGAAAGAAGAAGUGAGAAGAGGGGGUAUGGAGAGAGGGGUUAAGAGGAAAGGACAGACUGAGAAGAUUGUUAGGGUGCGAACUGUUGGCUAGUGGAGAAUGUUGUGGCUUUUUCCUCACCUCUCCAAGGGCAGAAAAAGAUAACUGAAAGUGGUCAGAAAGUCAUGGAACUGGGUUAACACAUUUGGCAAGGCUAGGAAAGAGCAGUUCAUCAGCACGUUGGGUGCCAGGAUUGGAGACAAAAGUGAAAGUUCUCCCUGUUCGUAUCCAACACGUUCUGACUGAAUCUAAGCAGUCACCUGGGCAGACUGUUAGGGGGAUAGCCGCCACUGCUGCACACGAGGGAGUCAAUUCACUCAGUGGAAUGUGGAAGACAAUUUUGUCUACUCUUAGGCGGACACUUACGAAGUUGUUCCUGUCACUAACUGCGAUCCAUUUAUAAGCAGCAGGGUGGUGUCCCUAGGAUGUCAAACCCAAGAAUUUAGAGGCAACUACUUGCUUCUACUGGGAGGGAGACGCUGCAGCGUCAAGCAGCCAAGACUGCCCUCCCUCUC